AUUGAACGCUGGCGGCAUGCCUUACACAUGCAAGUCGAACGGCAGCACGGGUGCUUGCACCUGGUGGCGAGUGGCGAACGGGUGAGUAAUACAUCGGAACAUGUCCUGUAGUGGGGGAUAGCCCGGCGAAAGCCGGAUUAAUACCGCAUACGAUCUACGGAUGAAAGCGGGGGACCUUCGGGCCUCGCGCUAUAGGGUUGGCCGAUGGCUGAUUAGCUAGUUGGUGGGGUAAAGGCCUACCAAGGCGACGAUCAGUAGCUGGUCUGAGAGGACGACCAGCCACACUGGGACUGAGACACGGCCCAGACUCCUACGGGAGGCAGCAGUGGGGAAUUUUGGACAAAGGGCGAAAGCCUGAUCCAGCAAUGCCGCGUGUGUGAAGAAGGCCUUCGGGUUGUAAAGCACUUUUGUCCGGAAAGAAAUCCUUGGCCCUAAUACGGGCGGGGGAUGACGGUACCGGAAGAAUAAGCACCGGCUAACUACGUG
Molecule: ribosomal RNA, 486 nt
Filed under: uncultured bacterium
Lineage: Bacteria
Description: partial 16S ribosomal RNA
Rfam family: Bacterial small subunit ribosomal RNA
Source: RNAcentral